Molecule: ribosomal RNA, 468 nt
Filed under: uncultured bacterium
Lineage: Bacteria
Description: partial 16S ribosomal RNA
Rfam family: Bacterial small subunit ribosomal RNA
Source: RNAcentral
GACGAACGCUGGCGGCGUGCUUAACACAUGCAAGUCGAACGGAAAGGCCCUGCUUUUGUGGGGUGCUCGAGUGGCGAACGGGUGAGUAACACGUGAGUAACCUGCCCUUGACUUUAGGAUAACUUCAGGAAACUGGGGCUAAUACCGGAUAGGAUCUCCUGCUGCAUGGAGGGGGUUGGAAAGUUUCGGCGGUUGGGGCUGGACUCGCGGCUUAUCAGCUUGUUGGUGGGGUAGUGGCUUACCAAGGCUUUGACGGGUAGCCGGCCUGGGAGGGUGACCGGCCACAUUGGGCCUACGAUACGGCCCAGACUCCUACGGGAGGCAGCAGUGGGAAAUAUUGCACAAUGGGCGGAAGCCUGAUGCAGCAACGCCGCGUGCGGGAUGACGGCCUUCGGGUUGUAAACCGCUUUCGCCUGUGACGAAGCGUGAGUGACGGUAAUGGGUAAAGAAGCACCGGCUAACUACGUG